GACGAACGCUGGCGGCGUGCUUAACACAUGCAAGUCGAACGGAAAGGCCCUGCUUUUGUGGGGUGCUCGAGUGGCGAACGGGUGAGUAACACGUGAGUAACCUGCCCUUGACUUUGGGAUAACUUCAGGAAACUGGGGCUAAUACCGGAUAGGAGCUCCUGCUGCAUGGUGGGGGUUGGAAAGUUUCGGCGGUUGGGGAUGGACUCGCGGCUUAUCAGCUUGUUGGUGGGGUAGUGGCUUACCAAGGCUUUGACGGGUAGCCGGCCUGAGAGGGUGACCGGCCACAUUGGGACUGAGAUACGGCCCAGACUCCUACGGGAGGCAGCAGUGGGGAAUAUUACACAAUGGGCGGAAGCCUGAUGCAGCAACGCCGCGUGCGGGAUGACGGCCUUCGGGUUGUAAACCACUUUCGCCUGUGACGAAGCGUGAGUGACGGUAAUGGGUAAAGAAGCACCGGCUAACUACGUG
This 468-nucleotide ribosomal RNA is filed under the name uncultured bacterium. RNAcentral's name for it is "partial 16S ribosomal RNA". It matches the Rfam family "Bacterial small subunit ribosomal RNA", at positions 28 to 507 of the family's 1533-position model. The record is from RNAcentral.